This is a long non-coding RNA of Ficedula albicollis (Collared flycatcher), 1970 nucleotides long. RefSeq lists it as uncharacterized. The transcript is spliced from 4 exons. NCBI's taxonomy places the organism in Eukaryota, Metazoa, Chordata, Aves, Passeriformes, Muscicapidae. The record is from RefSeq and is a predicted model, not a curated record.
GGGCGGCGGCAGAGCCGCGUCCUGCCCGCGCUGCGCCGCCAUCGAUCUGCGCCCCAGCAGAGGGCUCGGGCCCAUUACUUCUUAAGUAUUCUUGAGACAAACUGAUAAGAAGAACUACAACAGCCAGUCGCAUGUUUAAUGGCCAGUGUUUAUCCUUCAUUCGUGGUGGCUCAUCCACAUGGAUUAUUUUUUUUAUAACUUAGAGCCAACAAGAAAGCUGUUAGCUGGGCUGAAGAAGUUACUGUCUCUCAGUGGAUCUGCCAGCACAUCUAGUUUCACAUCCCUAGGAGAAUUAAUAUUAACUUAGAAAGUCUCAGUGGUCUGUUUUUUAAAUCAGCUGAAAGUAUCCUGAUGGAAAUACUGAAAACUGGAGAUACAGAUUUGGUUCAUCUCCUAAAGCAAAUGCUUAUGAUGGUGUUACUUUAUUUAGAUGGAACAUUUGUGAGGGAAAGGAAGAAAAUCUUUUUUCAUCAUCUUGCUAGGGAGAUGAGCAUCCCAGAGCACUAAUAUAUGAAAUAUACAAGUCCAGCUAAAAAUAAAGAUGGAUUUUUGCCAAGAGUGAUGAUCAACAUGACUAGAUAUUACAGAAUUUGUCUAUUUACAUGGAGAGGAAAAAAAAAUUUUUGGAAGUUGCAGCACAAGCAAAAUUCAGGCUUUGUGCACCCUACUGCCAUGGAGACUCCAAGCUGCCAAUCCCUGCCCAGCCCAGGAUCCAGGAUACUGAAGACAGGCCCAUAAGCAUGGCCAGUGGUCAUCCCCACAAAAUAAAGGGGGAUCACACCUUUCACAGCUCGAUGUGCACCUAAGUUACUGCCAGACUCUCUGAAGUUGGGUCAGCUGGGUCCCAAUUUUCUUUCUUAUUCACCUGGACCAACCCGAUGAAGCUGGGCCAGGGUCUGACUGCCCCUGUGGGUCUGUCUGCCCCAGGGCACAGCAGAAUUUCUUCCUGGCUGUGCACUCCUCUAGGUGCAAGCUGGACACCGGCAUGGAUCACAGUGGCUCCUGUCCAGUCACAGUGGAGUCCAUCUCUGACAGAGCAUUAAAAAUCACAUUAAAAUCAUAUAUGUAAUUUUUAGCUAUGGUGCUUUGAAGUGUUCCUUUUUUAUGCAUUGAAGUGUUUAUGCUGAAACCCUCAGUAGCUCUUGCUGGUUAUCCCCAAAUUCAGAGACACAGAAAGGGAUAGUUAAGACUGAAAAUAAAUAGAAAACCCAAAACAACACCACACAAGAGAAAGUUACCAAGUCAUUUGCAAGGUAAUAGCUGAAAAUAAGCAAACAAAAAACCCAAAACACCACACAAGAGAAAGAAAGUUACCAAGUCGUUUACAAGGUAAUAACUUUUUACACGGUUGUUCUAUUUUCUAUUAAGUAUAGUAAUUAAAUAUUGAUCUCAUUAACACUAUGCACUGCUGCUUCUAUUCUGUAUGAACUUCUUGUGGCUGCAAGGUCCUUCAGCAAUUAGCAGUCUACACUCAAACAGAGGAUUAGAAACUAAUGGGGACUUCACUGCCUAUAAACAUGUGAACUUGGACCUCUGGAUCAUUAUGAUUUGGGUGAUCAAAUGGCAAAUCCAACCAUCCUUUUGGUGAGGAACAAAAUAAAUCUUUGUUUUCCUGAUAUGCAACAAGGAACUUGUCAUUACCUAUAUAGCAUGAACAUUUUGGGCUCUCUAUCUUUAGGUAUUUUGGGUCUCAUUAAAUAACAGACUCCAGAAUUUUAAAUUAUUUAUUUUUUUCAACCAUAGUUUUCAAUUUCCCUGCCUGUCCUCCCCUUGUGCUUGAUUCCUAACUCUCUAGAACUGUCUGACCACCAUUUUCUACAUUUACUGCACCUUCCAGAUUGAUCUUAAUUUAAAAAAAAUCUCCCUACAUUUGAAAACCACAAAUAAAUAAAAAAAAUGUGUUCAAUGUUCAGAAGCAUUGCAAUGAAAAUUACUUGAAUGUUUAGAAGCACCAGAAAAGUAACAGAGAA